RNAcentral lists this microRNA (19 nucleotides) under Chiloscyllium plagiosum (whitespotted bambooshark). RNAcentral describes it as "microRNA PC-5p-925808_1". The record is from RNAcentral. Lineage: Eukaryota; Metazoa; Chordata; Chondrichthyes; Orectolobiformes; Hemiscylliidae.
GAUGGUGGGGAGGAGGGGG